This 210-nucleotide unclassified non-coding RNA is filed under the name uncultured Sebacina. Its description in RNAcentral is "sequence contains ITS2". Lineage: Eukaryota; Fungi; Basidiomycota; Agaricomycetes; Sebacinales; Sebacinaceae. The record is from RNAcentral.
UAAUCUCACUACAGAUUGACCUUUGUCUUUCGGUAUGUGGACUUGGAUGUUGCCGUGGAUAUCUAUGGCUUGUCUGAAAUGCUUCAGUGUACCCCGCUUUGCGACGUAUUCGGUGUGAUACAUCUUCACCGGAGUUGACUCUUUCUGAGUCGCGUCUGCAAUGGUGUGGCUCUAUGCUUCAAACUGUCUCUUGAGACAACCUCUGACAAU